CUCGACUCCAUCAGAGGUGCAGUACAUUGGCCAGCUUAAUCUGACCUUACAAAUACAACAGUCAAAGCUUUAAAUGGCUGGUGGAGAAUGAUGUUGGGUACAUUACGUAGUCAGUCUGUUACUUGAGGUGUGCUUAACAUGGAUCCAUGAACAUUUUAGACACCAAUGUGCCACAAAAUAGGCAACAAUGCCUUAAGCCUUCAAAGGAGGCCAAGUCACUGGCAUCUUGCAACCCAUAUAUGACAGGAUCACACUCCAGGAUCAAAAGAAGAUGUCAGCCCAUCACCUCGACUCCGUCAGAAUUAAUAUUGGCCAGCUUAAUCUGACCUUUGGCAAAUUCAACGGUCAAAGCUUUAAAUGGCUGGUGG
Long non-coding RNA from Triplophysa dalaica, 368 nucleotides. RefSeq lists it as uncharacterized. The transcript is spliced from 3 exons. The record is from RefSeq and is a predicted model, not a curated record. Lineage: Eukaryota; Metazoa; Chordata; Actinopteri; Cypriniformes; Nemacheilidae.